UACGGAGGGUGCAAGCGUUAUCCGGAUUCACUGGGUUUAAAGGGUGCGUAGGUGGGUCUGUAAGUCAGUGGUGAAAUCUCCAAGCUUAACUUGGAACUGCCGUUGAUACUAUAGACCUUGAAUGCUGUGGAGGUGAGCGGAAUAUGUCAUGUAGCGGUGAAAUGCUUAGAUAUGACAUAGAACACCAAUUGCGAAGGCAGCUCACUACCCAGAAUAUUGACACUGAGGCACGAAAGCGUGGGGAUCAAACAGG
RNAcentral lists this ribosomal RNA (253 nucleotides) under uncultured bacterium. RNAcentral describes it as "partial 16S ribosomal RNA". It matches the Rfam family "Bacterial small subunit ribosomal RNA", at positions 524 to 776 of the family's 1533-position model. The record is from RNAcentral.